Molecule: long non-coding RNA, 1246 nt
Organism: Girardinichthys multiradiatus
Lineage: Eukaryota; Metazoa; Chordata; Actinopteri; Cyprinodontiformes; Goodeidae
Exons: 2
Source: RefSeq, a predicted model, not a curated record
UGCGGCGGAAUACUUCUAAUCUGUGGAAGCACCUGCAGUGUUUCACCUACCACUAUUCAAGGGGGGCACCCCGCCCUACCAACCAGACCGCCGUGCCCCCAAGAGGAUCACAGCAUGUAGUAAUAGUUUAACAGUUAAUGUCAUUCGUUUUAUUGGAUCACGUCGUGAAGGAUUUCUGUCCCUGUGUUGUCACUACUCUUCUUUCUAUGGCCAAACAUGGCAAAAGCUGGACGAAAACACACUCAUCAUACUCUGUGUCACCAACGGUGACACUGACACACUGAGUUAGGUGCACUCGAACGGAGGUGAACACAUGCUCCUGACAGCGGACAGAAAGCCAUGCCGCUAAAACCUAGAAAGCACGCAAGGAUAUCUGUGGUUUUAAAAAGCGGCAAAUUUAGUUUUGAUGGCAGCACUUCAUCUCCUGCGAGCUAACUCUCCUACUCUUGGUACAUUUGGCGAAGAUAGAAGUAAACAAAAUAGACCAAGUGAUUCAUGCCCUGACUCUGACACACAGCUAAAGUCCAGUCUCCACCAAAUAAAAGUUUUUUACCUAGUUUCAAACCAUUAAAAUGAAUUUAAUGGUUUGAAACUGAAUUCCUUGGCUUUUAAACUGAAUUUGUUUGCUUUGAAAAUUGCUUUGCUAUGUAUUGAAAAUUCCAUUUGAUAACUUUCAUUUUCUAUUCCAAAAUUCAAUUCCAGUUCCAAAAUUCCGUUUUUUGUGUCACACAUCAAAGUCCUUGAAACCACAGAUUAAUUAAACACAGAAUUACUGAUUCACGGAUGUCAUUCACUAUUGCUGUGUUCAAAUUCAGAUGCGACUUUUAUGGCCAUACAGUGAAGUAAAAACGAAUGCUGUCAGAGAGGUGCUGAUUAUAUUGGUUCAGACACUUUUGGUUUGUUUUACAAGCCCUGCUACUGCAACACAUUGAGGGGCAGAGAAGAAAGAGUGCUUGGAGACCAGCUGCUUUACACCAGCUCUCGCCUCCGUAGUGGGAUCCUAUUCACGUGAUAGAAGAUACACUCUGCCUAGGGAUUUUGUCUUUAACUGUCUCUUUCAAGGAUAAUGCCAGUGAGCUAUUGCUGCAGGUAUUUACUCUUAAUUUUCUUAUCCCAUUGAUACUACUACUGGCUCAGUGCUUUCUUGUUUUAUUGUGUUUCUUAGAUGGAACUACUAAUGGUAUUAGUGAUGUCACUAACGGUGUGUGCUGUAUUCUUUCCCAAAUAAACUACUCCUGGACUGGUG